UUGAUGUUCUAACGUGGACCCGUGAUCCGGGUUGCGGACAGUGUCUGGUGGGUAGUUUGACUGGGGCGGUCUCCUCCUAAAGAGUAACGGAGGAGCACGAAGGUUGGCUAAUCCUGGUCGGACAUCAGGAGGUUAGUGCAAUGGCAUAAGCCAGCUUGACUGCGAGCGUGACGGCGCGAGCAGGUGCGAAAGCAGGUCAUAGUGAUCCGGUGGUUCUGAAUGGAAGGGCCAUCGCUCAACGGAUAAAAGGUACUCCGGGGAUAACAGGCUGAUACCGCCCAAGAGUUCAUAUCGACGGCGGUGUUUGGCACCUCGAUGUCGGCUCAUCACAUCCUGGGGCUGAAGUAGGUCCCAAGGGUAUGGCUGUUCGCCAUUUAAAGUGGUACGCGAGCUGGGUUUAGAACGUCGUGAGACAGUUCGGUCCCUAUCUGCCGUGGGCGCUGGAGAACUGAGGGGGGCUGCUCCUAGUACGAGAGGACCGGAGUGGACGCAUCACUGGUGUUCGGGUUGUCAUGCCAAUGGCACUGCCCGGUAGCUAAAUGCGGAAGAGA
This 551-nucleotide ribosomal RNA is filed under the name Salmonella enterica subsp. enterica serovar Weltevreden. RNAcentral describes it as "partial 23S ribosomal RNA". It matches the Rfam family "Bacterial large subunit ribosomal RNA", at positions 2214 to 2764 of the family's 2925-position model. The record is from RNAcentral. Lineage: Bacteria; Pseudomonadati; Pseudomonadota; Gammaproteobacteria; Enterobacterales; Enterobacteriaceae.